This is a non-coding RNA of Camellia sinensis, 1629 nucleotides long. Lineage: Eukaryota; Viridiplantae; Streptophyta; Magnoliopsida; Ericales; Theaceae. The record is from RefSeq and is a predicted model, not a curated record.
ACUUUUUAAAUUUUUACAAAAAAAUAUGCAAAAAAUAGAAAGAAAAUAAAAUCUUUGAUUUUUUAAUAUAAAUUGUUAGCUUUUUUAUUUUUUUUAGUGACUUUUUAACUAAAAAAACCACUUGCCAAAACGAGGCCUUAGUCCCUCAAGCUACUGCUAAUCAAUUCUGCAACUAAAAAGGAUUGAAUGGUGCUGGGUGGAUCCUCUAAGAAGACCUAGUGUUCCUUCUGUUCACACCAAUGUUAGCCAGAGCAUCUGCACUCUGAUUUGCCUCUCUUGGAGUGUGCUGGAUGGUGCAAUUGCAUCUCUUUAACAUGAAGUUAAAAUCCUCAAUUAGAGCUCUGUAUAGGCAUGUUCUUUCAGCUCCUCCUUUGACUAGCUCCAUAGCUGUUAAGGAAUCAGUCUCUAUAUUCUGCAUGAUGAUUGUCAGACCUCUAUACAGACCCCAUAGUUCAGUUUCUAGACUAGUGCAAUUGCCCAGGUAUCCAUAGUAUCCCCACACCCAGGUGCCCACUUCAUCUCUAAGCAGCCCUCCAUAUCCAGAUUGGCCUGGAUCACCUUUAAAGCAUCCAUUAGUGUUCAAUUUGAGUUUGCCUGCAAUAGGAAGAGACCAUUGAGUUAGUACAGGUUCUGAAUAAAGAAGAUUUAGGGGCUUGAGAAAGGCUUCCUGUGUUUCCUUGGCCUGUUGUAGAAUUAUGCUAGAACAGAUGUGAGAAGGCUGAGAAUGAUCCAAAUGGAUUAGGACACCCUCUCAAAAGGUUCCAUAUCUUCUAUAGUGGUUUGGCACCUGGGACUUGAAAAUUUUUAAUUUCAACUACCGUGGUCUAAUUGGAAAUGGUUGUCCAACUCACUAAUCACUAGAGCCUAAUUUGAUAGACAAAAUGUAAUUUCAAAUUUUGAACAAUUUAAAUCAUACAACUAAACACUUAAUUCUUUUUAUUUAUUAUUUUGAAAUGAGGGAUGGAGAAGAAAAUGUGUGCUUAGCUGUAGGAUGUAAAUGAUCUAAAAUAGUUGAGGCUGCAACUCAGGUGAUUCGAUCCGGUUGAUCGUCUUUCCAAGCUCAAUCCAAAAUGUAGAGAGAUCUGCCUAAAUACGAGCUUGAGCCUGAGCCUGAGCCUCAGUUUAAUUUAAUAAAGUCGGGCUAGGCUUGGGUUACCCAAAUUCAAUCCAAAAAAAAUUAUCUUUUGUUUUCUAACCUAAUGUAUGGCAAUUUUUAAAAAUAAAAAAUAAAAAAUAUCUGAAAAACAUACAAACAUGAACAAUUAUAAGAAAUUAAUUUGAAUUAUGUUUACCAAAUGAUACGAAAAUAUUACAACACAAUACGAUUUAAUUCAAACGAUGAGAGAACGAUACGUAAUUUAUAAUGUUUUAGUUUAUUAUAUAUAAUUUAUAUAUAUUAACUGCAGAAUUUGAGUUAUUGGGUUGUUCAGAUUGUGAAAACCCCCACUCAAUAAAUUUGUACCCAAGUCCUGAGCAAGUUUAAAAUUAUAUUACCCAAGUAGUAAAAAUUUACGGGCUGAGUUCGGAUUGUUCGAGUUAGGUCCACCCAUGUCACAUGACUUGGGGGUCGUUGGCAAGUGGAUAUUUUAGUAUAAAAAAAUAUAUCAAAAUUCACUAAAAAAAUCACCC